RNAcentral lists this ribosomal RNA (431 nucleotides) under uncultured bacterium. RNAcentral describes it as "bacterial SSU rRNA". It matches the Rfam family "Bacterial small subunit ribosomal RNA", at positions 355 to 796 of the family's 1533-position model. The record is from RNAcentral.
UCGAGGAUCUUCGGCAAUGGGCGCAAGCCCGACCGAGCGACGCCGCGUGUGCGACGAAGGCCUUCGGGUUGUAAAGCACUGUCGAGGGGGAGAAAAGCGAAAGCUUGAUCUAGCCCUGGAGGAAGCACGGGCUAAGUUCGUGCCAGCAGCCGCGGUAAGACGAACCGUGCGAACGUUGUUCGGAAUCACUGGGCUUAAAGGGCGCGUAGGCGGGCUGCCAAGUCCGUGGUGAAAUCCCCCGGCUCAACCGGGGAACGGCCAUGGAUACUGGCGGCCUCGAGGCGGGUAGGGGCGUGCGGAACUGUGGGUGGAGCGGUGAAAUGCGUUGAGAUCCACAGGAACUCCGGUGGCGAAGGCGGCACGCUGGACCCGAUCUGACGCUGAGGCGCGAAAGCCAGGGGAGCGAACGGGAUUAGAUACCCCCGUAGUCC